Molecule: ribosomal RNA, 254 nt
Filed under: uncultured bacterium
Lineage: Bacteria
Description: partial 16S ribosomal RNA
Rfam family: Bacterial small subunit ribosomal RNA
Source: RNAcentral
CACGUAGGGGGCGAGCGUUGUCCGGAUUUAUUGGGCGUAAAGAGCUCGUAGGCGGCUCAGUAAGUCAGGUGUGAAAACUCCAGGCUCAACCUGGAGACGCCACUUGAUACUGCUGUGGCUAGAGUCCGGUAGGGGAGCAUGGAAUUCCUGGUGUAGCGGUGAAAUGCGCAGAUAUCAGGAGGAACACCAGUGGCGAAGGCGGUGCUCUGGGCCGGAACUGACGCUGAGGCGCGAAAGCUAGGGGAGCAAACGGG